GACGAACGCUGGCGGCGUGCCUAAUACAUGCAAGUCGAACGCAGUGGGGACGGGUGAGUAACACGUGGGUAACCUCCCAUCAGAGGGGAUAACACUUGGAAACAGGUGCUAAACCGAUACUGAUGGAUGGACCCGCGGUGCAUUAGCUAGUUGGUGAGGUAACGGCCCACCAAGGCCACGAUGCAUAGCCGGUCUGAGAGGGUGAUCCGCCACACUGGGACUGAGACACGGCCCAGACUCCUACGGGAGGCAGCAGUAGGGAAUCUUCGGCAAUGGACGAAAGUCUGACCGAGCCACGCCGCGUGUGUGAAGAAGGUGUUCGGAUUGUAAAACUCUGUUGUUAGGGAAGCGGUACCUACACAAAAAGCCACGGCUAACUACGUGCCAGCCGCCGCGGUAAUUC
RNAcentral lists this ribosomal RNA (403 nucleotides) under uncultured bacterium. Its description in RNAcentral is "partial 16S ribosomal RNA". It matches the Rfam family "Bacterial small subunit ribosomal RNA", at positions 28 to 526 of the family's 1533-position model. The record is from RNAcentral.